RNAcentral lists this transfer RNA (49 nucleotides) under Eugenia subavenia. RNAcentral's name for it is "partial tRNA-His". Lineage: Eukaryota; Viridiplantae; Streptophyta; Magnoliopsida; Myrtales; Myrtaceae. The record is from RNAcentral.
CGGAUGUAGCCAAGUGGAUCAAGGCAGUGGAUUUGGGAUCCCCCCCCUG